Non-coding RNA from Dermatophagoides farinae (American house dust mite), 779 nucleotides. The record is from RefSeq and is a predicted model, not a curated record. NCBI's taxonomy places the organism in Eukaryota, Metazoa, Arthropoda, Arachnida, Sarcoptiformes, Pyroglyphidae.
CUUAUCAUUAAUCAGUGUUGACAUUGAUAGAGGCACAGAAUGAACACAUAUUGCUGGUGAUGAUGUUGAGAAAUCAAUGAUGAUGGUAAUGUCAAAGUUGAUGUUGAUGGUAACAAACAAAAUUAAUUCAAGUUGAGCAGCGUGUUCGAUUGAAUGUACACACAUAGUUAGAGCACAUUUUCCGUUGUAUAUGUGUGAGCAUCUAAAACUAUGUUGACUUAAUUGGCUGACUUGUGUGGUAAUGGAUGUGCAUGUUCAAUACAGUGGUGUUUACAUUAAUGCUGCUAGUGAAUUGUGAUGAGCAGAUUUGUGUAUUUUGUUUGUGUUAAUUCAUAGAUGACAUAUACAAUGUUUACAUUUUUGUUUACUAUGGUAAAAACAAGGACAAUGGAUUUGGUGAAAUGUUUCAAAAUCUUGCAUAAGAUCAGAACUCUCGGUUCGUAAAUCGACAACAAUGAUUGGUCGUAGAUAAUUAAUGGAUCACAGGCUGGUCAAUACUGUUUGGCUAUUGGUUUCAUUGUUCAUUAAAUAAAUGCACAUUGGCACAGCGUACAUGGAAUCGAUUGCUGAAACUGUUGACUAGUUGUUUUCAUUAUGGUUGAAACAAAUAAAUCGAUAUGUCAAUGAAAUAUUGGUGAAGAAAUCCAUCGAUUGGCUAGUUGAUUAUCAUUUUGUUGGUUCAAAUUAUGCUCACUGGCACACACUCAAUCACUUAAAUUAUGUUGUGUUUAUGAUGACGAUGAUGAAUUGAUGAAUAAAUAAAUAAAUUAAUGAAUAAA